Long non-coding RNA from Mauremys reevesii (Reeves's turtle), 776 nucleotides. RefSeq lists it as uncharacterized. Lineage: Eukaryota; Metazoa; Chordata; Testudines; Geoemydidae. The transcript is spliced from 4 exons. The record is from RefSeq and is a predicted model, not a curated record.
CAGCUUCCUUCUGGAGCCUUGCUUACCCAUCUCCUCGCCAGAGGCUGCAAAGUUCCUCCCCAAGGGCAUUGGAACACAGGAAUUGUCGGGACUGACUGCUGACAAGCUAGGAGCCAGCUCCUACAGAAGUGUGCAACUAUUGUCAUCCAACAAUAGUCCAGCAGUAUGAUAAAGGUGCCCUAUUGAGAGGUCUGAAGACUAUCCCUCCAUGGGGGAGGCAGCGUGAUCCAGUCCAUCAGGCCAGGAUUCAAGGAGGCUUGUGUUCUGCCUGCUACCAACUCCCUGCAUGACUGCAGCCUUGUCAUUUAACCUUUGUGCGUUGUCACUGCACUCCUGUAAAAUGAGGCUGAUGAUGCUUGCAGCUCCUUUGUAAAGUACUUUGAAGCUAUAGAGUCAACACCCCCUUAAAGAGACCAGAAGCCAUUCACAGCUCUGCAGACCCAGGCAGAUGAGACAGCAUUGCAUCAGUUUACACUUUGCCUACAUCUUGAAGGCUUCGUCUGCAUCCAUAAUAGCAGGAGACUUUUAAACAUAAAAUAAAAUAGAGGCUUCGAAGCUGGAACAUGAGACAAAUCACCAUGGGAUAAUACUGGCUUGCAGGCCAACAAGAGCUGGUAAAACUCAAACAUUCAAGUGUCAGAUGCCCCCAAAAUUGUGAGAUUGGCUUAACAAUCCUGUGAUAUUUUUAUAAAAGAUGUAGUUUUGGUUCUUUAAAUGUAUCUUCUGCUUCCUGAGUCUUCAGGAUUUACUUGCUUCACAUCUUAAAGGAUUUUCCC